AGCUUCGACUGGUUUUGUUUCGUCUUAGUUUCUCCUCUCGCAACUCCCCCAAUAACACAGCCAUCUUCUAACGUCUAAUUUGUUACACAUCCAUCGACGACCCAAGAGCUUCGAGGUCUGUCGAUCCAGGUCGUCUCCUCUUCAAUCCUUUGCCUAUUUCAUCGAUCGUACUCGACUCCCCCAUCCAAACAUUCCACCUCAAUCUUGAUCACAUCCGACUCCAGCAAGUCGUCCGACGAUCCCGACCGCUGGGCGGGUUGGUGCCCAUCUCUCUCGCCUCAACUCUCUUUGCCAACUCUGGGUUCUGGGUCUGUUCUUCUUUUUCUUUGGAGAAGAAGAUCUGGGUUCCUUCAUUCUCUACUCAAUUCGCUUUGGAUUGUCUUACUUUUUCAAAUUGCUGCUUUUUUUUGUUCACUUUCUGCUUUCCCGUUUGGAUACUGCAAAAUCGGUAUUUCAUGAUUCCAAGUGCCAGAGUACUCUGUUUGGAUAAAUAGGGUUUAGGCGAUGUCUUCCAACAAUGAUGGCUACAUAAUUCACUCGAAUCGGCAGUUUCUUGUACGUCCGGCUACAAGGGAUGAGUCUCCAGCGAGCACAUUUCGUCCACGGGCUAAACCGCUAUGUCAAUAUCGUCACUACAGUAUUCACUAGCAAUAUCAAAAAAUGAAAGGCGAAAUCUGUUUUUGGUGCUUUUUGACUAUGUUUUGCAUCAAAUUAACGAAGCAAGCAUAGCUACAGGAGGCACAGAGUAUAGUGAUGAUGAGAUUCAGCCUCUUGUGGCUCUUCUCACAAUGGCGGAUGCGUCUGAAGCCAUUUAUAUCUGUAUUAAGCUUGGAUUGACAGGCAUUGGGGAGCUUAUGAAGAAUUCUAUUUUCUGAUGCAGUGUCUAGAUAUCCAAACAGUGAACGGCUAAAUAUGAUGUUAGAGAGUGUAAUGGAGAAAUUUGGUGCAACCAUAAGUUCAUUUACUCAUUUGGACACGGAGUUCUUCCAUAUGAUGGAAAUAACAAAAUCCUGUAAGUCUUUGGAUAGCAUUGAACGUGCAGUUCUAAGAAAUGGCGUUGGCAUGAAAGCAAAGCUCUCAUGGGCUGUUUUGCAUUCACUACUUCAUCCUGGAAAUUCUGCAUACCAUCGAAAUGCGUGUGUCUGGUUAGGCGACCUGCUUAUUGCUGAAAUUAGUGAUGAAAGGAAUUCAAGUAUAUGGUCCAAUAUCAAAAACGUGCAGCAGAAAAUAUUCCUUGCUGGUGUUCAUGAUUCUGCAGUCGCUUCAGAUGUUCCUAUACCCAUUUGGCUUAUGUGUGGUCUUCUUCUGUAGUCAAAGCACACAUCAUCAGAUGGGGUUUUUUAUUUGUUCUUGAAAGGCUUCUCAUGAGGUGUAAAAUUUUGUUAAAUGAAACUAAAACCCAGCCUUCACACGACAGUGAUAUUGGGAGCGUACACACGGAUAAUCGUCUUGAGAAAGCUAAUGCAGUGAUAGACAUCAUG
Fragaria vesca subsp. vesca is the source of this 1481-nucleotide RNA transcript. RefSeq lists it as uncharacterized. Lineage: Eukaryota; Viridiplantae; Streptophyta; Magnoliopsida; Rosales; Rosaceae. The record is from RefSeq and is a predicted model, not a curated record. The transcript has 4 exons.